RNAcentral lists this long non-coding RNA (511 nucleotides) under Brassica napus (rape). RNAcentral describes it as "long non-coding RNA (BNAP_LNC015785)". Lineage: Eukaryota; Viridiplantae; Streptophyta; Magnoliopsida; Brassicales; Brassicaceae. The record is from RNAcentral.
GGUCGUUUGAGACCGUGUGGUAAAACUCGCUAAGUGUUUGAGCUUGUUUAAAGUUGAAAAUAGAGUUCGGUACGAUUUCGUGCCAAUCGACAUGGGCAUGUUUCGGUCUUGGUGACUGCGAGCUGGCGUAGAAUAAAUGGUGUUGGGUGUUUGGUUACGUGUUCCUUGCGUAGCGGCUGAGAGGUCGAGGUAUUCAAACUGUGAAUUAUUGACUUGAUUUGUGCAGAUCUCGUAGUACGCGAUCGCGAAUCAUAUCGCACUCACUGCCUCAUGCGAUCUUCGAAUACUUCAGUAUGGUUUUUCUGGAAUUAUCGUUUUCAUUCACAUGAAAUGAUUUCGUGGUCGGAGCUUCUAAGUGAUGUUCUCAGUCCUAUGUUAUUCGUGACUUUCCAUGUUUCGAUCGUUUGAGGUCGGGCUACUUCUACGGUGGAUGGUUUUUUUUCAUAAUGAAGGGGAUGGACUAUCGCUUGAGGAGUGUGGAGAACAAGGCUCGAGCCUUCUUUGCGUCUCU